GGCACUGCCUGCCCGGUGACUUAAAAGUUAAACGGCCGCGGUAUCCUGACCGUGCAAAGGUAGCAUAAUCACUUGUUCUUUAAAUAAGGACCUGUAUGAAUGGCUAGACGAGGGUUUUACUGUCUCUUGCUUUUAGUCAGUGAAAUUGACCUUCCCGUGAAGAGGCGGGAAUAACAUAAUAAGACGAGAAGACCCUAUGGAGCUUUAACACUCCUACACACUUUUCAAACAUAAUCUUAAAAACAAAACAAAUAUUGUGUAGAAUGUUUCGGUUGGGGUGACCUCGGAGAAUAAAAAAACCUCCGAAUGAUCUUAGUUUAGAUUUACAAAUCAAUCCUUCUAUCAUAUUAUUGAUCCAAUAACAUUGAACAAUGGACCAAGUUACCCUAGGGAUAACAGCGCAAUCCUAUUUAAGAGUCCAUAUCGACAAUAGGGUUUACGACCUCGAUGUUGGAUCAGGACAUCCCAAUGGUGCAGCCGCUAUUAAA
This 488-nucleotide ribosomal RNA is filed under the name Thryonomys sp. RNAcentral describes it as "partial large subunit ribosomal RNA". It matches the Rfam family "Bacterial large subunit ribosomal RNA", at positions 1851 to 2569 of the family's 2925-position model. Lineage: Eukaryota; Metazoa; Chordata; Mammalia; Rodentia; Thryonomyidae. The record is from RNAcentral.